CGUUUGACGUUAGCUGCAGAAGAAGCACCGGCUAACUCCGUGCCAGCAGCCGCGGUAAUACGGAGGGUGCGAGCGUUAAUCGGAAUUACUGGGCGUAAAGCGCAUGCAGGUGGUUUGUUAAGUCAGAUGUGAAAGCCCGGGGCUCAACCUCGGAAUUGCAUUUGAAACUAGGCAGACUAGAGUACUGUAGAGGGGGGUAGGAAGUUUCAGGUGUAGCGGUGAAAUGCGUAGAGAUCUGAAGGAAUACCGGUGGCGAAGGCGGCCCCCUCGGACAGAUACUGACACUCAGAUGCGAAAGCGUGGGGAGCAAACAGGAUUAGAUACCCUGUAG
Molecule: ribosomal RNA, 331 nt
Filed under: uncultured bacterium
Lineage: Bacteria
Description: bacterial SSU rRNA
Rfam family: Bacterial small subunit ribosomal RNA
Source: RNAcentral